This 427-nucleotide ribosomal RNA is filed under the name uncultured bacterium. Its description in RNAcentral is "partial 16S ribosomal RNA". It matches the Rfam family "Bacterial small subunit ribosomal RNA", at positions 355 to 774 of the family's 1533-position model. The record is from RNAcentral.
UGGGGAAUAUUGCACAAUGGGCGCAAGCCUGAUGCAGCUAUGCCGCGUGUAUGAAGAAGGCCUUCGGGUUGUAAAGUACUUUCAGCGGGGAGGAAGGCGAUAAGGUUAAUAACCUUGUCGAUUGACGUUACCCGCAGAAGAAGCACCGGCUAACUCCGUGCCAGCAGCCGCGGUAAUACGGAGGGUGCAAGCGUUAAUCGGAAUUACUGGGCGUAAAGCGCACGCAGGCGGUCUGUCAAGUCGGAUGUGAAAUCCCCGGGCUCAACCUGGGAACUGCAUUCGAAACUGGCAGGCUAGAGUCUUGUAGAGGGGGGUAGAAUUCCAGGUGUAGCGGUGAAAUGCGUAGAGAUCUGGAGGAAUACCGGUGGCGAAGGCGGCCCCCUGGACAAAGACUGACGCUCAGGUGCGAAAGCGUGGGGAGCAAACA